UAGUUCUAACAGUGACUGCUUUUGAAGAAACAGGAAACGCAGGGGCCACAUGCAAAAGUGAAACUAUGCUCUGAUCAUACCAGAUUGCAGAGAACUGGUGUCCUCUCUUUCUGGAUGAAAAAAAAUCUCAAAUUCUGUCUGAACAAGCUCUCUCCAAUGCUUCAAGGCCGUUUUUAAAGCUCUUUCCCACGGGUGAGGAAGAAGGUGCUGCAUUCUUGAAGGGACCUUUAAAAUCCCACUCGACUCUGCACUGUUUAGAACUCUCCCUCGUUCAAAAUGCUACCAGCUUGAGAGACAGCCCUGGAGAUACUUGGAUCCACAAGGAAAAAAAUCAUGUCCCUUUUUCCUGAAUAAAAGUUUCCAGCUACUCCA
Chrysemys picta bellii (western painted turtle) is the source of this 372-nucleotide non-coding RNA. The record is from RefSeq and is a predicted model, not a curated record. Lineage: Eukaryota; Metazoa; Chordata; Testudines; Emydidae.